GGCGACGUAGGGAAGUGGCUUAACCCACACCUCUGCAAAAGGUGGUUUCGGCAGUUCGAAUCUGCUCGUCGCCUC
RNAcentral lists this transfer RNA (75 nucleotides) under Deinococcus sedimenti. RNAcentral's name for it is "tRNA-Cys". It matches the Rfam family "tRNA". From Rfam's summary of the family: Transfer RNA (tRNA) molecules are approximately 80 nucleotides in length. Their secondary structure includes four short double-helical elements and three loops (D, anti-codon, and T loops). Lineage: Bacteria; Thermotogati; Deinococcota; Deinococci; Deinococcales; Deinococcaceae. The record is from RNAcentral.